GCUGGCCACGGUUGUGCACACCUAUAGUCCUUAAACUACUGGGGAGGCUGAGGCAGGAGGAUAACUUGAGUCCAGGAGUUCUGGGCUGCAGUGCACUAAGCCUAUCAGGUGUCCACACUAAGUUUGGCAUCAAUAUGGUGACCUCCCGGGAGCAGGGGCCCACCAGCUUGCCUCAGGAGGAGUAAACUGGCCCAGGUCGGAAAUGGAGCAGGUCAAAACUCCCGUGCUGAUCAGAUAAGCACAAAUUAAAGCAAUUCAUGACCACUAAGCCAGCAUUUUAGAAGAUAAUU
Molecule: signal recognition particle RNA, 290 nt
Filed under: Castor canadensis (American beaver)
Lineage: Eukaryota; Metazoa; Chordata; Mammalia; Rodentia; Castoridae
Description: Metazoan signal recognition particle RNA (ENSCCNG00000009242.1)
Rfam family: Metazoan signal recognition particle RNA
About the family: The signal recognition particle (SRP) is a universally conserved ribonucleoprotein. It is involved in the co-translational targeting of proteins to membranes. The eukaryotic SRP consists of a 300-nucleotide 7S RNA and six proteins: SRPs 72, 68, 54, 19, 14, and 9.
Source: RNAcentral